Long non-coding RNA from Microcebus murinus (gray mouse lemur), 1606 nucleotides. Lineage: Eukaryota; Metazoa; Chordata; Mammalia; Primates; Cheirogaleidae. The record is from Ensembl.
CUCGUCAGGCCUCAGAUGCAUGUGUUCUUAAUAUUUUAACAUGUCUAAAAUCUGGCCGGGUAGCAGUUUUUUCCUUAGUGGUACACGAAAUGCUGGUGUGCCUUCCAAUUUCUGGUAUCUUAGGUUUGAUGGAGUAUGGACGGAGACAUCCAGGAAGUGGCAGAUGGGGUGUUGUGUGGCGGUUCUACCUGGGUUUGACUCAGCGGUUUCCUUCUUCUCUCUAGGCUGGUUGGGUCUUUUCCCUGGCCGGUGGAAGCCCAGCUCUGGAGUCAGCCCAGCUGAGGGUAACUCCCUGCCUUUGCUUAGGUGGAGCCCCCAAGCCGGCCCAGGCCCGUGGGACCGCACAGCUCUGCCUCCUCGCCCGCAUUUCCCGUAUCUGCACCAGAAAUACUCCAGGACUCAGCCGGCCGAGACCGAACCCUCCUCCACGGGAAGUGGGGUCCUGGGGGAACGACGCCAUAAAUACUCCAAAACAGAGAGGCCGGCUUGGGAAUAGAUGACGUGUGGAAGAUGGACAUCAACCAUGAGCCCUUCUUGUGGGAGAGGUGAAAUAGAGAUGAUAAACUCCCUGGAGUGUGGGCUACUUGGGAGGGGUGAUAUAUCCCAAGGAGUUCUCAGUUUGAGGCCAUGCCCAGCUAUGCAGCUCACCUGGGAAGUGCCUGAGGGUAAGGAGGGAGACAGCCUGCUCUGGAUUCUCUUCAGGGUGUCAAUGAGUUAGCGUGUUGACAGAUGAAGAGAAUUCCAGCUGGGGAUACAGGUUAGGAAUCACGUUUCUCACUCUCAUGAAGAUAUACAGGAGAUAGCUCUUUGAUUCUUUCUGUGCCAGUCUGUUAAAGCUAUUCUGAGGUCGACUGUCAUUCAGAGCUUUGUUUCUUUAUCCCAUUAAACCACUAGCUUCUGGGAGUUAAUUGUAGACCAAGAUGAGAGGAUUUAGGUGUGGCUCCAGGAGUAUGUCUGUUAUACAUAUCAACUGCAUUUAUAUCUGUGCUAUAUCCAUUAGGAUAAGAUAAUCUAUACUGCAGACACUGAUAGAUAGCCCUAAAACUUCAGUAGCUUAAAACAACAAAGAGUUGAUUUGUUCACACUGCAUGUCCAGAUCAAUGCCAACUGUCCCUGGUAGGGAAAAAGGGGACGCAGAAAAUCAUAUUCUGAGUCUUAUAAACUAAUGCCCAUAUUCCAAUAGCUCAAGCAGAUCUUGUAGCCACAUCUAAUAUUAGGAAAGAGUUCUCUUGUCAGUGUUAGAAUUUUUCCAAUUCAAAUGGAUCUAUCUGUAAUCAGGGUAAUCUAAUGAGUGUCUUGAGCCUUUGAAAUUAUCUGGCUUGAAGCUGUAGAGGACUGACCAGUGAUCUAGAGAAAAGGAGAAUGGGAAUUUUAAAAUGCCUACUAAGAAUCUCUUUUAAGGAAGAAGUAAUGUUUCAUCUGGUCACUAUGUUCAAAAUCAAAUGUGUUCCAUACCUUAUAUUUGAGUCUUAAAAUAGUUACAGAAAGUUUGUACAAUAAAGCAGUCAAGUCAGGUGCAAUUAGCCAUGCUGAUUUUUUUUUGGAUAAGUGCUUAAAAUAAACUUUGUAAGAAUAAUAGAUUUAAAGUAUAUUAGCACUGUGGGAG